This 610-nucleotide long non-coding RNA is filed under the name Coffea arabica (coffee). RNAcentral describes it as "long non-coding RNA (CARA_LNC004187)". Lineage: Eukaryota; Viridiplantae; Streptophyta; Magnoliopsida; Gentianales; Rubiaceae. The record is from RNAcentral.
GUGGUCCGAGAGACAUGAGACGGCGAUAUCUUGAUGCAAUGGCGCUCGUUCAGAAAUAUGGUAAAGCUGAUAUUUUUCUUACCAUGACCUACAAUCCAGCAUGGCAAGAAAUUCAGGACAAUCUAAAGUAUCAUGAGAAGCCAUAGGAUAGACCAGAUCUUCUAGCCAGAGUUUUUAGAGCUAAAUUUGAGCUGCUUAAAUCUGAAAUUUUGAAUAAGCAAAUUUUUGGUGAGGUCGCAGCAUGUGUCUAUGUUAUUGAGUUUCAAAAGCGUGAAUUUUCCCAUGCUCAUUUACUCCUGAUCUUAAAACCUCAGUCCAAGCUACUUAAUCCAGAAUCAUAUGAUAAGGUAGUGUGUGCGAAAUUACCUGAUCGUGCUUGCUACCCUCACUUAUACAAUCUUGUUGUCAAGCAUAUGAUCCAUGGUCCUUGCGGAGAUAUGGAUAAAACUUGUCCUUGUAUGAAAGACAGUGCCUGCAAAAGUCAUUAUCCCAAAGAUUUUUGUCUGCAUACAACUCAUGUUAAGAAUGGUUACCCACAUUAUAGAAGAAGGGAUGAUGGCAGAAAAAUAAAGGCCUGAAGGUUUACUCUCGACGACAGGUGGGCUGUGCC